This 253-nucleotide ribosomal RNA is filed under the name uncultured bacterium. RNAcentral's name for it is "partial 16S ribosomal RNA". It matches the Rfam family "Bacterial small subunit ribosomal RNA", at positions 524 to 776 of the family's 1533-position model. The record is from RNAcentral.
UACGAAGGGUGCUAGCGUUGGUCGGAAUUACUGGGCGUAAAGCGCGCGUAGGCGGCUUAACAAGUCAGGGGUGAAAUCCCACGGCUCAACCGUGGAAUUGCCUUUGAAACUGUUAAGCUUGAGUGUCGGAGGGGAUAGCGGAAUUGCUAAUGUAGAGGUGAAAUUCGUAGAUAUUAGCAGGAACACCGGUGGCGAAGGCGGCUAUCUGGACGACAACUGACGCUGAGGCGCGAAAGCGUGGGGAUCAAACAGG